This 253-nucleotide ribosomal RNA is filed under the name uncultured bacterium. RNAcentral describes it as "partial 16S ribosomal RNA". It matches the Rfam family "Bacterial small subunit ribosomal RNA", at positions 524 to 776 of the family's 1533-position model. The record is from RNAcentral.
GACAGAGGUGCCGAGCGUUAUGCGGAAUCACUGGGCUUAAAGCGUGUGUAGGCGGACCGUUAAGUACCUUGUGAAAUCCCACGGCUCAACCGUGGAACGGCCGGGUAUACUGGCGGUCUUGGGCCACCUAGGGGCGAGCGGAACAAGCGGUGGAGCGGUGAAAUGCGUAGAUAUCGCGUGGAACGUCGACGGUGAAAACAGCUCGCUGGGGGUGUGCCGACGCUGAGACACGAAAGCCAGGGGAGCGAACGGG